CACAACACCAAUGCUGUAGCUACACGUGCGAUCUAAGUGGAGAUGGCCGAGUUGGUCUAAGGCGCCAGAUUAAGGUUCUGGUCCGAAAGGGCGUGGGUUCAAAUCCCACUCUCCACAUACAAAUCAUUUUUUUUUUUUUUUUUUUUUACAAGAUAGGCAUCUUUAAUUUGGAUUUGAAUUUGCAUAUAUAAAAUAUCCAGUCAGACAUGAGCCAGCUUCUCACUCACUCACUCAAGUGAAGGCAUUGCUUAAAAUUCAGUCACAGGAAUAUAUGCUUCGAGUUGAUUAUUCCUACCCUACCCACAUGAAGAAAGAAUAGAAUACCACAAACCCACCACUAAUCAAGUGGUUGAAAUGCUCUGCAGUUUUAUCAUACAGAAUUUAUAAUGAAUGAAGAUCGUCAUGCUCGUACAAAUUCCGUAUCCUGAACUUUACAGUAUACUACUCUUUGAUGAAUGAAGUACCUAUCCUCCAUACUCCCCCGCCUCUGAGGUUCCUGGAGUUUGUAAGCCAAGCUUCUACAAGUUACAACCUCCCAACCUCCUCUCUCUUUUUUCGGAGGCGUUACUGGAGCGGACAUGGAGUGGAGCUGCUGGAGAUAUCAUAGACUGCGUUGUCCAUCCCUCGAUCCCGUUCCGGACCUCUUUCCUGCUGCUGCUGCUGCAAGCUUAUAGCCUCACGCCUCUAGCCUUCCAUCUGUAUCUAGACUUUCCAGCACCAAAAGACUGCCUACCUCUUCCAAUGCAUCAAUUUUGUGUUUAGCUCAAUUUUCUUAAAAACCGAGCCUGUUUUAAUCGGCCAUGAAAAGCAAGAGUCGAUAGAAAAACAUGACGUCAACUCUCUCCAUCAGAGGGCAACUUUUGGCAUCAUCGCAUUCAUAAUGUGAAAAUAUUUGGACAAAUUUAACCAGAAACCCUUCACAUACAUUAGUACAACAGUUCCUACAGACAAGGUAAGAUAUGAAAAAUACUACGUUGCAUUAA
Molecule: non-coding RNA, 983 nt
Organism: Punica granatum (pomegranate)
Lineage: Eukaryota; Viridiplantae; Streptophyta; Magnoliopsida; Myrtales; Lythraceae
Source: RefSeq, a predicted model, not a curated record